Molecule: ribosomal RNA, 443 nt
Filed under: uncultured bacterium
Lineage: Bacteria
Description: partial 16S ribosomal RNA
Rfam family: Bacterial small subunit ribosomal RNA
Source: RNAcentral
CCUACGGGAGGCAGCAGUGAGGAAUAUUGGACAAUGGGGGGAACCCUGAUCCAGCGACGCCGCGUGAGUGAAGAAGUAUUUCGGUAUGUAAAGCUCUGUCAGCAGGGAAGAAAGCAAUGACGGUACCUGACCAAGAAGCCCCGGAUAACUACGUGCCAGCAGCCGCGGUACUACGUAGGGGGCAAGCGUUAUCCGGAAUUACUGGGAGUAAAGGGAGCGUAGACGGCUGUGCAAGUAUGGAGUGAAAGGCGGGGGCCCAACCCCCGGACUGCUCUGGAAACUGUAUGGCUGGAGUGCAGGAGAGGGAAGCUGAAUUCCUAGUGUAGAGGUGAAAUGCGUAGAUAUUAGGAGGAACACCAGUGGCGAAGGCGGCUUACUGGACUGUAACUGACGUUGAGGCUCGAAAGCGUGGGGAGCAAACAGGAGUAGAUACCCCUGUAGUC